RNAcentral lists this ribosomal RNA (954 nucleotides) under Escherichia coli. Its description in RNAcentral is "partial 23S ribosomal RNA". It matches the Rfam family "Bacterial large subunit ribosomal RNA", at positions 418 to 1372 of the family's 2925-position model. The record is from RNAcentral. Lineage: Bacteria; Pseudomonadati; Pseudomonadota; Gammaproteobacteria; Enterobacterales; Enterobacteriaceae.
CGGGACACGUGGUAUCCUGUCUGAAUAUGGGGGGACCAUCCUCCAAGGCUAAAUACUCCUGACUGACCGAUAGUGAACCAGUACCGUGAGGGAAAGGCGAAAAGAACCCCGGCGAGGGGAGUGAAAAAGAACCUGAAACCGUGUACGUACAAGCAGUGGGAGCCUCUUUAUGGGGUGACUGCGUACCUUUUGUAUAAUGGGUCAGCGACUUAUAUUCUGUAGCAAGGUUAACCGAAUAGGGGAGCCGAAGGGAAACCGAGUCUUAACUGGGCGUUAAGUUGCAGGGUAUAGACCCGAAACCCGGUGAUCUAGCCAUGGGCAGGUUGAAGGUUGGGUAACACUAACUGGAGGACCGAACCGACUAAUGUUGAAAAAUUAGCGGAUGACUUGUGGCUGGGGGUGAAAGGCCAAUCAAACCGGGAGAUAGCUGGUUCUCCCCGAAAGCUAUUUAGGUAGCGCCUCGUGAAUUCAUCUCCGGGGGUAGAGCACUGUUUCGGCAAGGGGGUCAUCCCGACUUACCAACCCGAUGCAAACUGCGAAUACCGGAGAAUGUUAUCACGGGAGACACACGGCGGGUGCUAACGUCCGUCGUGAAGAGGGAAACAACCCAGACCGCCAGCUAAGGUCCCAAAGUCAUGGUUAAGUGGGAAACGAUGUGGGAAGGCCCAGACAGCCAGGAUGUUGGCUUAGAAGCAGCCAUCAUUUAAAGAAAGCGUAAUAGCUCACUGGUCGAGUCGGCCUGCGCGGAAGAUGUAACGGGGCUAAACCAUGCACCGAAGCUGCGGCAGCGACGCUUAUGCGUUGUUGGGUAGGGGAGCGUUCUGUAAGCCUGCGAAGGUGUGCUGUGAGGCAUGCUGGAGGUAUCAGAAGUGCGAAUGCUGACAUAAGUAACGAUAAAGCGGGUGAAAAGCCCGCUCGCCGGAAGACCAAGGGUUCCUGUCCAACGUUAAUCGG